GCCAGGCGUGGUGGCGCACACCUGUAAUCCCAGCUACUUGGGAGGCUGAGGCAGGAGAAUUGCUUGAACCCAGGAAGCGGAGGUUGCAGUGAGCUGAGAUCACACCACUACAUUCCAGCCUGGGUGACAGAGUAAGACUCUGUCUCAA
Unclassified non-coding RNA from Macaca mulatta (Rhesus monkey), 148 nucleotides. It matches the Rfam family "Metazoan signal recognition particle RNA". Rfam says of the family: The signal recognition particle (SRP) is a universally conserved ribonucleoprotein. It is involved in the co-translational targeting of proteins to membranes. NCBI's taxonomy places the organism in Eukaryota, Metazoa, Chordata, Mammalia, Primates, Cercopithecidae. The record is from Ensembl.